CCUAACUAGGGGCUGAACACACUACUGAUUGCUUGGAAGAAUACGCUGGAGUCAGAAAGACACAGUCCCUACCGCCAAGAAGUUCUGAGUCUGACGGAGGAGAGAUGUACAACAUAAUUACAGCUACUUUAUCUCUACAAUGCAACAUUAGAAAGGACUAGGGGACACUUCAGGAACGACGUCAUGAUUGACCAUCUUCAAAAAUGAAGGAAGCACAAGCUGAUGACUAUUCAAAGGCAAUCUUCUAUUUAGAGGAGGAAUAAGCCAGCACGUGCAUAACAGCAGUGGACUGCCCCAGCAACUCCUUGUAAGGAAACUUACUGCUCAAACUGCAAAGGGAAGUUGAUGAAGAUAUGUUUCACUGUCAUUCACCUAUAAAGGUAAAUACGACAGAGAAGGAAAUACUCUAACUUUCUACUGGCCAGCCUUGGUGAGGUAAGGGGCUCUUUAAAAGCUCUGUGCAAGGGAAAAGAAUUUUGUGGAAUUUGUAAUAGAUACAAAGUUCCAAGACCAGAUGUGCGCCCCUUGCCCUGUAGCUUCUGUAGAGUGGAAGGAUGAGUAAAGUCAUGUAAGUCCUCUUAGUCCCUUCUCCCCACAGAUGCCAGGCUAGUUUUACAGUCACCACACCAUCUGUUUGAGCCCUAGAGUCUUGGCCUAUGGCAGCUUCUAACUGGAACAUUUUAAACCCCUGCAGUUCAUUUUGCUAAAGAAUUGCUCUUCUGUCCAUUAAUUUAGAAAUUUGAGAUGUACUCAUUUCACUAUUUCAAUUAUCUUGGGCCCAGGCAUAUAUUUCUUUCAGAAUUACUUUCAUAAAAGUAAAUGGUGACUGGGAAAACGAAAACAUCCCUAUGUCUGAAUACGUGCUAGGAAGGAACAGUUUCUAAAGGAAAAAAAUCAUUAUGAUUGGAAAAUUAACAAUACACAACUUUUUUUAC
This is a long non-coding RNA of Ornithorhynchus anatinus (platypus), 935 nucleotides long. RefSeq lists it as uncharacterized. Lineage: Eukaryota; Metazoa; Chordata; Mammalia; Monotremata; Ornithorhynchidae. The record is from RefSeq and is a predicted model, not a curated record. The transcript is spliced from 3 exons.